CGUGUAGGCGGGAGAGCAAGUCAGAUGUGAAAUUCCAUGGCUUAACUGUGGGACUGCAUCUGAAACUGUUUUUCUUGAGUACUGGAGAGGAAAGUGGAAUUCCUAGUGUAGCGGUGAAAUGCGUAGAUAUUAGGAGGAACACCAGUGGCGAAGGCGACUUUCUGGACAGUAACUGACGCUGAGGCGCGAAAGCGUGGGGAGCAAACA
This 207-nucleotide ribosomal RNA is filed under the name uncultured bacterium. RNAcentral describes it as "partial 16S ribosomal RNA". It matches the Rfam family "Bacterial small subunit ribosomal RNA", at positions 568 to 774 of the family's 1533-position model. The record is from RNAcentral.